GCCCUCGUGGAUCAACGGUAGAUCUCCUCCUCACAGUGCUGUCGUUAUCAGAGUCAUGUUAUGGAGGUGAUGUGGGUUCGACUCCCACCGAGGGCA
Molecule: non-coding RNA, 96 nt
Organism: Mycena maculata
Lineage: Eukaryota; Fungi; Basidiomycota; Agaricomycetes; Agaricales; Mycenaceae
Source: the annotation of a GenBank genome assembly